GACGAACGUUGGCGGCGUGCUUAAUACAUGCAAGUCAACUGAAGCAGUGGUAGCAAUCUCGCUGUGGAGGUGGCGCACGGGUGAGUAACACGUAGGUAAUCUGCCUUCAGGUCUGGCAUAACUCCGGGAAACCGGGGCUAAUAGCAGAUGAUGCAGCGGCUCGACAUCGAGACAGUUGUUAAAGCUAUGGCGCCUGAAGAUGAGCCUGCGUCUGAUUAGCUAGUUGGCGGGGUAACGGCCCACCAAGGCAACGAUCAGUAGCUGGUCUGAGAGGAUGAUCAGCCACACUGGAACUGAGACACGGUCCAGACUCCUACGGGAGGCAGCAGUAAGGAAUAUUGCUCAAUGGGAGAAAUCCUGAAGCAGCAACGCCGCGUGAGGGACGAAGGGCUUUUGCUUGUAAACCUCUGUAGUGAGAGAAAAAAAUCCCAAUCUUUGGGGCAUGAUGGUAUCUCAAAAGUAAGCCCCGGCUAACUACGUG
This 481-nucleotide ribosomal RNA is filed under the name uncultured bacterium. RNAcentral describes it as "partial 16S ribosomal RNA". It matches the Rfam family "Bacterial small subunit ribosomal RNA", at positions 28 to 507 of the family's 1533-position model. The record is from RNAcentral.